UGGGCAGGCCGACGCGAUGACGUGAGGACACGGCGCUGGCUGGCCGUGCGUCGCGAGCCGGGUUUGAAAGUAACGGCAGGCCAGGAGUAGGGAGGGGGCGGGGCCGCCAUGCCUCAGAAAGACAGUGUGUGCUCGCGCUCCUACUUCGUGGUCGUCAUGGUGUUCGUGCAUGUUUACAUCCUCAACGUCUUGGCCCUGCUGCUCUACGUGUACUACACCAGCGAGAGCGCGCACACGGCUCCGGAUGGCGGCGGAGGAGGCGCGUCCACGACGCCUGGGCAGGACGCGAGUGCGCGGCAGGAGGUGGCGGAGCCGGAGCGCACUGCUGCCAAGCUGCAGCAAGAGGCGUUCACCCGCCUGCACCGCCUGGAGGGCAUCAAGGUUGGCCAUGUGCAAAAAGUAGAUCUUGUCCCAAACAAAGUACACUACAUGAAAACGCUGAGCUUAAAACCACUUCUCUUUGAGAUUGCAAACUUCCUUUCAGAGGAAGAAUGUAAACUGGUUAUCCACCUCGCAAAGUUAAAGGGACUUCAGGAAAGCCAGAUUAUGCCAUCUGACCUUCAACAGGAGGCCAUCGAUGAGAUGGACAUUAGCAAAGAGGAAAUCUUCAAUCUGCUUGACUACAACCAAGAUGGGCAGCUACAGAUGACAGAGGUUUUGACGCACACACGAUUUGGUGAUGGUGUCUGGAUUACUCCUGAAAAUAUUCGCGAAAUCUACACAGGACUUGAAGCUGACCCUGAUGGGAAUGGUUUGCUAAGCCUGGAGGAAUUUAAGCAACUUAACACAAAUGCUUUCCAAUCAUAUUUACGGCACCGUGGGGUGCAAAAGACCGAGCUGGUUCGCAACAGCAAGCACACGUGGCUGUACCAGGGCGAAGGGGCACACCGGAUCCUGAGGACCAUUCGGCAUAGAGUGAUCAGGUUGACGCAGUUACCUCCGGAGAUAGUGGAGCACAGUGAGCCACUACAGGUGGUGAAGUAUGAUCAAGGCGGGCACUACCAUGCUCAUCACGACAGUGGUCCAAUCUACGCAGAGACCAGCUGCUUCCAUACAAAGCUAGUAACCAAUGGAUCCACUCCAUUAGAAACCUCCUGUCGAUAUGUGACAGUGCUGUUUUAUUUGAACAAUGUUUCUGAAGGAGGGGAGACGGCAUUUCCUGUGGCAGACAACAGGACGUAUGAAGAACUGUCUUUAAUGCACAAUGAUGUGGAUCUACGAGAUACACGGCAAAACUGUAACCGAGCAAACCUGCUGGUGAAGCCUGUGCAAGGCACCGCUCUCUUCUGGUACAACUACCUCUCCAACGGCGAAGGCUGGGUGGGAGAGCAAGACGAAUACUCCCUGCACGGCGGCUGCAUUGUCAUCCGGGGGACCAAAUGGAUUGCCAACAACUGGAUCAACAUCGACCCCGACAUCCAGCGGCAGCUGCGAUUCCAGCAGGCAAUCUCCAGAUACGCCAGUGACGAUGCUCCUGCCGAGUGGGCUGUCGACACCAUUUUCCGCGAUCUGCAUGUGGAGCUGUGAAUCCGUUCCAGAAUAAUGAAUGGCGUUGAAUGCUUUGCAAGGACAAACUGCCCCAUUUAUAUUCAUCCCAUCCUUAAAUCAGGGUUCAGAACGAAAAGAGAACGUCGGGGUGGAUACCGUUUGUUCACCCACACUUCAUUCCUCCGUCAGCUUUUGUCUGCAAGCACUGGCAGGCUAUCUGGCAGCACAUAUCACCUCAGCUGCGCCAGGUCCAGCCAGGAUGUCUGUUCGGAAGUUGGAUCAGUGGCUAGUGAUUAGGAAGGGCAAUCUUCAACUUUGUAUUCUCCGUGUUAUUUACCCUUUUAUUUGACCUCUCACCUGCCCAACUGCAGGGUAAGAGGCAGGAACGACAACUCCUAGUCUUCUUGCUUGAAGAGGGGCAUAAGAGUGAGCUUGUUUAUGUGUGAUCACACCCAAAAUAUUAACACCCUUCACUCACUCUGCAUUCCAGUAUUUUUGUUUUUAUUUUAGAUUUCCAGAUCCUGGUCUUUUUUUAAAUUAUUUUUUCUUCCUACUUUUCCCAGUCAGUGUUCCCAGGCACUAACGGAGCUCUGACAAGUGAGGUGCCAGCUUUACACUAUACUAUGUUGUUAUUCAUUGGUCUUGUCGGAGUGGUUUGAGAAUAACUACCACUGGCCUUGGAAUAAGCAUUUUUUACAGGAGAAAUCUGGUUCACAUCCACUAAAGGGCAAUCUGGGGCUGAGAGGCUGCUCCUGACAUCUCUACAGAAACUGCUUGAAGUCAUUCCUUGGUAUCAAUUGAUGGACAUCUCCAGAGUUAUUGCUGCUGCUGCUGCUGCAGGAUUCGCAUGGUCAGUGCACUCUUGCGUUGCUCAGUCUCCUCCUCUUCACUUCCUUGCAUUGUUCCAGGAAUAGGUUGACUACGUGUCUGCUUCCUCCAGCCACCCUACAUUCUCCCACCCAUUCUCCCAGCCCUUCACUUCCAAGUGGACCUCUGUGGCCAAAUACAAGUCCAAGUGAUCGGUAGUCAUUCCUAGCCAGUGUUUUAUAAGACCAUAAGGCAUAGGAGCAGAAUUAGGCCAUUCGGCCCAUCGAGUCUACUCCACCAUUCAAUCAUGGCUGAUCUAUUUUUCCUUCUCAACUCCAUUCUCCUAUCUCUUUCCCAUAACCUUUGAUGCCCUUAAAAAUCAAGAUUAUCUCCGCUUUAAACGUACCCAAUGCAAUUCUACAGAUUCACCACCCUCUGGCUGAAAUAAAUUCUUCUCAUCUGCCCUCUGGCUCUAUGGUCCUAGACUCUCCCACUCCCACAUCCACUCUAUCUAGGCCUUUCAUAUUCGGUAAGUUUCAAUGAGACCCCCCCCAUCCUUCUAAACCCCAGUGAAUACAGGCCCAGGCAUCAAACGCUCUUUAUAGGUUAACCCAAUCAGCCCCCGGAUCAUUCUCGUAAAUAUUUAAUAUUCACAAUGAAAGUUGAAAGGUUUCUGCAGAGGACUUUGGAACAUGAUACCUGUCGUUUUGUGAAUAGCUGGAACCUUCAAGGUAACUGAAGCUGUCACAUAGAGGCGUUAUUGUUCAACAUAAUCGGUUCUUUGUGCUGCUUCAUUUGUUCUGUAUUUAAACGGAUACAACAAUAGUGUACAGUGGAGAAUGACACAAAAUGCUGGAGUAACUCAGUGGGUCAGGCAGCAUCUUUGGAGAAAAGGAAUAGGUGACGUUUCAGGUCGAGACCAGUCUUCAGUCUGAAGAAGGGUCUUGUCCCGAAACGCCACCUAUUCCUUUUCUCCAGAAAUGUUGCCUGACUUGCAGAGUUACUCCAGCUUUUUGUGCCUAUCUUCAGUGUAAACCAGCAUCUGCAGUUCCUUCCUACACAGUAGUGUAUAGUGGAUCAGAUAACCAACUGCCUGGGUACAUGGGGACAGGAUACAACGUUCAGCCUGAUCAAAUAAAACGCAAGAGACUAUAGGUAUUUUAUCAGUGUCUCUACCCGCUGUUCAUACUCCUUAACUUUAUUGAUUUACCUUUUAUAUUAUUGUUUAAUUCAAAUAGUAAUUUAUCCGAUGUAUUCAUGGGCUGUUUCGCAAAGGAAGGCAUCACACCUGUGGUUGAAUCUUUCCUUUAUAUAAAUUUAUCACCUGGUUUCUCGUAGUCAUGUUUAAGAACCACUGCAGGUUACGUUACUCUCCUCUCCUGUUCAUUCUCCCACUCAAGCCCAAGGGCAUUAGUUGCUGGCCUGACUAUAUUUUACUGAGCCUGGGAACAAAAUCAUCGGCAUUCUAUUUGCUUCUCUCAACACAUAACAUGAUGGAUUUGCCCACUGAGCCCCACUGAGAUGAGUUUGCAUGUUUUUUUUGUUAACUGGAAAAAUGGUACAGUGAAUAUGUCUGGUUUACUGUACAGUGGUAAUUUGGAGUCAAAGCAGCGGUGACCCAGACACUGGUUUCAUCUGCAUCAUGGCAGACUCCUGCAUUUAGCAUGCAGCCACUCCUUCGUACUGUAGCAUGCAGACAAAAGAGCAGUUGGCAGUUUUAAUGCUGUGUCGCAAUUUGCAAUUGAAUCAUGAGCAGUGAGCAAGGUCAUUAUUGCCUGUGCCAGCUCGGUGGAAGUUUUGCUGAGGGAUAUGCUCCCUUGUUUUUAUUGCUAGACAAUUUUUCCCCCUUUAGAUAUCUACAAUUUACUCUGCGUGCAAACUAAGUACUAUUUUUCACCUUUGUUCCGGUUCUUUUGACAAAUACCUUGUAUCUGUAACCUCUGGUUACUGAUCCUCCUACCUGUAAAACAGUUACUCCCUAUUAUCAAAUGCCCUCAUCAUUUUGAACGUCCAAAUCUUCUUAAUAGACACAUAAUGCUAGAGUAACUCAGCGGGUCAGGCAGCAUCUCUGGAGAAAAGGAAUAGGUGAUGUUUUGGGUCAAGACCCUUCUUCAGACUCGACCCGAAACGUCACCUUUUCCUUUUGACCCGAGAUGCUGCCUGACCUGCUGAAUUACUCAGUAACUCCAGCAUUUUGUGUCUACUGUGUAAAACAGCAUCUGCAGUUCCUUCCUAAACAUCCUAUCCAAAUCCCCUUGACUUUCUCCUCUCUACAUUCAUCAACCAAAAUUUUGCAAAUAAUUAAAAUCAUAGGUUUUUUGAGUUAAAAAAAAAUUAUAUUUAAAAACAAAUCAUUCUAUUUAAUAGCUGUUGUCCACGCUGUGAUAGAUUGUUUAUUUAUGAACGACAUCUUAAGAACUUCAUAUCUUUUAUAUUUUGAAUUGGUUUGUCAUAUAUAUCUAUUAUAUUUAAUAUUGUUUUAAAGAAGUUAGUUCUAAUAUUUGUAAAUUAUUGUACCCUGAAGUUUAAUUAUUUAUUAAAGUGCGUCAUUGAUUUCUUCAUUUCUAUUUAAUUUGUGUUCUUCAGGAAUGUGUUUUAUAGCUGGCUGUCUCCCAAAGCCUUUAUUAUUUAAUUGUAGAUCUUGCACUCAAUUCCCCCAAGAUCCUCUUGGGUUACUCAGGUAACAUGUGUCAGCUUGGUCUGAAUAAAGGGCACCAUGUUUCUUCUUCAUAGUGCAUGUGUAUUGUAUUCUGUCUGCCUGUCUCUGUGUUGAUUUGAGAACUGCUGUGAAAUCCUCACAAACUAUAAUCAAAAUAAAUUUUUCAAACUGAA
RNA transcript from Amblyraja radiata (thorny skate), 5127 nucleotides. It is a transcript of the gene named prolyl 4-hydroxylase, transmembrane b, with no coding region annotated. Lineage: Eukaryota; Metazoa; Chordata; Chondrichthyes; Rajiformes; Rajidae. The transcript has 10 exons. The record is from RefSeq and is a predicted model, not a curated record.